RNAcentral lists this transfer RNA (70 nucleotides) under Candidatus Peregrinibacteria bacterium. RNAcentral's name for it is "tRNA-Ile". Lineage: Bacteria; Candidatus Peregrinibacteriota. The record is from RNAcentral.
GGGGGCAGCAGGCGCAAUGAUAGACUUAUCAAUCUAAUCGUUGGGGGUUCGACUCCCCUUGCCUCCACCA